Long non-coding RNA from Zonotrichia albicollis (white-throated sparrow), 914 nucleotides. RefSeq lists it as uncharacterized. The record is from RefSeq and is a predicted model, not a curated record. Lineage: Eukaryota; Metazoa; Chordata; Aves; Passeriformes; Passerellidae.
GCAGCCGGGUGCUGAGUCCCGGGCGAGCUCACACGCGGCGGUUCGCAGCUCUCGCUGUCCCUAACUUGGCUUCCGUGGCAUCACCCCCACCCGGAAACCUCCACAGCCAUCAAGAAUUGAUCCGUGAUGGUGGGAAAACAGAACGGAACUAACCACCCCAACCUCCCCCAUAGCUGACAACUGGCUUUUAUCUCCAAUUGUUUGGAGUCCUGUGAGGAGUCAGCAAAGCAUGUGGACAAGAGACAUCCAGCUGGUGUUUCCUACUUGGGUUUCUAAAAGGUGUUCAACAAAAUCUGUGAGCAAAACCUUCUGAAGGAACUGUAGAAUAAGAGAAGUUUUCAUGUGGAUAGAUGACACUGCAUCAAAGACAGGUCUCUGUAAGACAGAACAAAACUAUUUCUUCGUGGAUUCAGCCAACAUUCAAAGCUCCACAAGGAUCUGAUUUGGAGCCUGUGGACCGAAAGCAAAUGUAGUAAAACAUCACAAUACAAAAUCUUUUGCUGAUAAGGUUGUUCUUUGGAGCUGCAUCCGGGAGCCCUUCCAGGCAGAGGUGGGCUGGUGACCCAGUGAGGUGCUGAAGUGAAACCAACACCACCCAUUCUUCUCAUUUGGAACCAGCGGAUGUUCACAAGGGACCUGGAAUUAUAUCAACAGGAUAUCAUGGGAAAACAAAAGAAGGCUGGAACUAGCAUGUGGACAAUGUAGCUUUAUCAUUUCCAAUUAAGGAGCUCUUGUUCUGUGGAGUGCUGUCCUGUCCCCUGCCACCCCUGGCAUCUUUAGUCUGCACAACAACAGAUUUUCAGCUCUUCUUCACUGAUUAGAUUUGAGCUCUGUUUUUAUACAAAUGUUUUGUAUCUUGGUCUAUUGGCUAUGGACAACCAGCUGCAACAUUAAAGGAGUAAUUUUAAUUCUGA